Molecule: microRNA, 24 nt
Filed under: Zea mays
Lineage: Eukaryota; Viridiplantae; Streptophyta; Magnoliopsida; Poales; Poaceae
Description: microRNA miR-3147
Source: RNAcentral
AGUUUGGUGGACAGGAAAAUGGAG